Molecule: long non-coding RNA, 921 nt
Organism: Helianthus annuus (common sunflower)
Lineage: Eukaryota; Viridiplantae; Streptophyta; Magnoliopsida; Asterales; Asteraceae
Exons: 4
Source: RefSeq, a predicted model, not a curated record
UGUUUUUUAUUUCUUUUUUCUUUUUUUGGUUUCGAUCUGGUUCUGAAAGUUUCUGUUGCAGGGGCUUUAUUUUUGUGUGAUUUGCUCUUUUUUUUUUUGACUUUUGGGUUGUGUUAUGCUAAUAAGCGUUCUUUGCUCACAACAUGUUUGAUGAAACGCCACAUAGAGAGCAUGUUGUCUUGACCCUAAAUUAUUACAAUUGGGAGAAAGUUCUAUCAGUGCUAUAUCAAGAAGGUUAUUUUGUGCUUCCUAUGAGUCUACUCACACCUUUCUAAACAUGGCAUAUCAACUCUCAUUCAUGGGAACUGCUUGCUCUUCUCUAUUCUCUACUCUCUUUAUGGGGUAGUAAAAGAAAAGGCUUACCAAAAUGCUAGUUUCACUAGAUGAGGCUAACCAAGAAACAAGGAUGGUUAAAUGAUCACUCAUGCAUCGAAUAUAAAAAUAGCAUUCAACAUAAAGAGGUCACCGUGGAUAAAUUAAAAUUUUGAAGGAACUGCAUUACUAUUGAUAUGGAACAACAAGAUUGAGAAAGAAGCCAUAAAUCUCUAGCCUAAUCAUCUCAACAAGAUAUAAGUGAGAUUGGAGAUAUGAGAAAUAAGGUUAUUGCACUCGGGGAGAAACUUCAACAUGAUAGGGAGAAAUGUGAAAAAAAUGCCAAAGUACAUGAUCCCAAAGUUUCGAGAAUUCAAGUGCACAAUAUUCACACCUACAAGUAAUGAAGCUGAUACUUUAGAUGGAUUACUCAGGCAUAGUGACAACACGAUCUAUGGCGUUAGUAAAGACAUUUAUUACUUCUUUUUAUCUAAAAGCCUUUAUGCUUUAGAAUUGAUAAAUUGGUAUUAUUUCGAUUGGCUCUUGUUAUGAUAUUAAUGCUUGAAUGUAUUCUGAUUUUGGAAAAGCAAGAGAUAGAUUUAUGAAUGA